Molecule: small RNA, 885 nt
Filed under: Pan troglodytes (chimpanzee)
Lineage: Eukaryota; Metazoa; Chordata; Mammalia; Primates; Hominidae
Description: retained intron
Source: RNAcentral
AGGGUUGGGGGGCUGUGGGAGGCUAUGGGGCUUCCUGGGUGCCUGUGGGGGCUGUAGGGCUGGGAGGCUGGGGGGCUGGAGCUCUGGCUGGGCGGCUCAGGGCUCCGGGCCACCGGCCUGUCCCACCAGGUUUGGAGAUGGCUACAUGAUCACGGUGCGGACCAAGAGCAGCCAGAGUGUGAAGGACGUGGUGCGGUUCUUCAACCGCAACUUCCCGGAAGCCAUGCUCAAGGAGCGGCACCACACAAAGGUGCAGUACCAGCUUAAGUCGGAGCACAUCUCGCUGGCCCAGGUGUUCAGCAAGAUGGAGCAGGUGUCUGGCGUGCUGGGCAUCGAGGACUACUCGGUCAGCCAGACCACACUGGACAAUGUGUUCGUGAACUUCGCCAAGAAGCAGAGUGACAACCUGGAGCAGCAGGAGACGGAGCCGCCAUCCGCACUGCAGUCCCCUCUCGGCUGCUUGCUCAGCCUGCUCCGGCCCCGGUCUGCCCCCACAGAGCUCCGGGCACUUGUGGCAGACGAGCCCGAGGACCUGGACACGGAGGACGAGGGCCUCAUCAGCUUCGAGGAGGAGCGGGCCCAGCUGUCCUUCAACACGGACACGCUCUGCUGACCACCCAGAGCUGGGCCAGGGAGGACACGCUCCACUGACCACUCAGAGCUGGGCCAAGGACUCAACAAUGGGGACAGAAGUCCCCCAGUGCCUGCCAGGGCCUGGAGUGGAGGUUCAGGACCAAGGGGCUUCUGGUCCUCCAGCCCCUGUACUCGGCCAUGCCCUGCGGUCACUGCGGUUGCCGCCCCUAAUUGUGCCAAAGGCUGACCCGGCCCGGGCUGCGCACACCCUUGCCCUGCUUUGCCUUAAAGCCUCGGGGUCUGCCCGGCCCC